RNAcentral lists this ribosomal RNA (547 nucleotides) under uncultured bacterium. Its description in RNAcentral is "partial 16S ribosomal RNA". It matches the Rfam family "Bacterial small subunit ribosomal RNA", at positions 355 to 893 of the family's 1533-position model. The record is from RNAcentral.
UAGGGAAUCUUCCACAAUGGACGAAAGUCUGAUGGAGCAACGCCGCGUGAGUGAUGAAGGGUUUCGGCUCGUAAAACUCUGUUGUUGGAGAAGAACGGGUGUCAGAGUAACUGUUGACAUCGUGACGGUAUCCAACCAGAAAGCCACGGCUAACUACGUGCCAGCAGCCGCGGUAAUACGUAGGUGGCAAGCGUUGUCCGGAUUUAUUGGGCGUAAAGCGAGCGCAGGCGGUUUUUUAGGUCUGAUGUGAAAGCCUUCGGCUUAACCGGAGAAGUGCAUCGGAAACCGGGAGACUUGAGUGCAGAAGAGGACAGUGGAACUCCAUGUGUAGCGGUGAAAUGCGUAGAUAUAUGGAAGAACACCAGUGGCGAAGGCGGCUGUCUGGUCUGCAACUGACGCUGAGGCUCGAAAGCAUGGGUAGCGAACAGGAUUAGAUACCCUGGUAGUCCAUGCCGUAAACGAUGAGUGCUAAGUGUUGGAGGGUUUCCGCCCUUCAGUGCUGCAGCUAACGCAUUAAGCACUCCGCCUGGGGAGUACGACCGCAAGG